UGCGAAGGCAAGCGGAUCUCUUAAAGCUGUUCUCAGUUCGGACUGCAGUCUGCAACUCGACUGCACGAAGCUGGAACCGCUAGUAAUCGCGGAUCAGCACGCCGCGGUGAAUACGUUCCCGGGCCUUGUACACACCGCCCGUCACACCAUGGAAGCCUGCAAUGCCCGAAGCCGGUGGCCUAACCACUUAUGUGGAAGGAGCCGUCUAAGGCAGGGCAGAUGACUGGGGUGAAGUCGUAACAAGGUAAC
RNAcentral lists this ribosomal RNA (249 nucleotides) under uncultured bacterium. RNAcentral describes it as "partial 16S ribosomal RNA". It matches the Rfam family "Bacterial small subunit ribosomal RNA", at positions 1256 to 1500 of the family's 1533-position model. The record is from RNAcentral.